CUGCAUGCUAGCCUGGGCAACAAGAGUGAGACCCUGUCUCAACAACAACAAAUUAAAAAAAUAAAAAGACUGUUGUGACAAUGUAAUUGACAGAGAAUGAUUAGUUUUAAAAGUCAGAAUCGAGAUGGUAUCGUAGGUAGUUUUUUGACUCACUGUCAACAAAACCACUCCCUUAGAAGAAAUACAUUAAUGCACUGCAUAAUGACAUUUCAGUCAACAAUGGACCACAUAUAUAAUGGUUGCCCCAUAAGAUUAUAAUGGAGCAUAUUUAGAACCCUGAUAUAUGGCACUCGAUAUUGGCAUUGCAAAUAAAGUAGGGGAAAUGAUUGAUAUUCAGUAAUGGUUCUGGGACACUUGGUUUUCCAUGUGAGAAAAUAUAUACAAAUAAAAAUAUAUACCAUUUAGGUUUGUGUGAGUACACUCUAUGAUGUUCACAGAAUGGUGAAUUGCCUAACUGUGCAUUUCUCCAAACAUAUACUUGUAAUUAAGCCAUGCAUGACUGUAAUAAUUUAUUUACUCUAGAACACAGAAUCAGAAAUCCUAUUGUGCCAGAGCUAAAUUUGAUGCCUUCCUUUAGGGAUUGGCCCUAUAAACAUUCUCCUAGAGGGUGGCAGUUCACAGUUAUACCUACUCUUCAAACCCCUUCCCAUGAGCCUAGCCCGUGGGCGCUUGGGAAAUGUCCAGUGCGCUUCUUUAUCAUGGCCGACCCUAAGUGAGGGCGGCCAGCGGGUGAGGGUUUGGCCACUGCCGCUGCUCUCCGAGGCCGCAGGGCGGGAGCCGUCGACCGCGGCUGGGAGAACGAACGAGGCGGAGAUUAAGAGAAAAAUGAAGAACACACUAUGAUGAGGAGGAGGCAGCAGCAGCGGCAGCAGGAGUAUGUUCUAGAAGCUGGUAUCUACAACUGAAGAGCCAGAUGUCCUGAUCAGGAAGAGAAAGAAGAUUCAGCAAAGGAGACGGAGAAGUAGGCACCGAAAAGAUCUGGGAGAAGGAAACCACAAGCUGGGUGUCAUGGAAACAAGGGAAAAUAGUAUCAAGAAGGAGGGAGAUCAUGCAAAAGGAGGUCACUCACAGGCUACUUUCUGCUGACAAGAUAAAAGUAAUUUUCAUCUCUUAGCGACUGAGAAUGGCGGGAGAAAGUAAGGGGGAAAAAUGAUAAUUUUGAAUGAAGGAUAUCGGACAGCAAAUUCUCUAAAAGCCUUCUUUCACUUAACCUCAUUAAUCAGCCCUUGUCUUCCAUGUCUUCCCAUUAGAGAUAAUUCAUACUUCUUGAAUAAAAGAAAGGCCAGUGUCACACAAAACGAAAUAAAAAGUAUCAGUUUUGCGUCAUUUUGGUGAAAUAAAAAUUUAGACAGUUUCAAGUCUAUACAACAAAGAGGAUGGAAAGAGAAGAAAAGGGGAUGCAUUGCAGAGCAAGUCAAGUUUUCAAAGCAAUGAUCUUGAACCUUCAAACUAACCCGAGUGAAAAGGAGGGUGGGGCUAGAUGUAGCACUUGUUGCUCUUUUUACUCUACCUAGUUUCAGAAAGAAAUCAUGGCAGCGUAAACUGUGUAUCUGAGUAAAUCAUUCAACAGCAUUUAUAGAGCAAAAUUGAAAAAGGUGAGCAGGAAGUGGAAUGACCUAAUCUGGGAGAGAUGAGUGGGUAGAUCCCCUUCAAGGAAAGAUUUAGGGAGGGGUAAGAGCCAGGGAGUGUUGGGGGCUUCUGUGGCUUUGGAAGCCUGAGUGGAGCUGCCUCCUGCCUGGGCAUGGGGGAGGGGGGUCCUUUGGCUCUGGAGGGAUGGA
This is a non-coding RNA of Microcebus murinus (gray mouse lemur), 1778 nucleotides long. NCBI's taxonomy places the organism in Eukaryota, Metazoa, Chordata, Mammalia, Primates, Cheirogaleidae. The record is from RefSeq and is a predicted model, not a curated record.